This 571-nucleotide ribosomal RNA is filed under the name Macrocera centralis. RNAcentral describes it as "eukaryotic LSU rRNA". It matches the Rfam family "Eukaryotic large subunit ribosomal RNA", at positions 402 to 812 of the family's 3401-position model. Lineage: Eukaryota; Metazoa; Arthropoda; Insecta; Diptera; Keroplatidae. The record is from RNAcentral.
AAACCGCUUAGGGGUUAAGCCCGAUGAACCUGAAUAUCUGAAUUGAGAAAUUCACCGGCACUCUAUUGGUUUUAAUUAAUCGAUUUGAAUGUUGUGCACUUUUCUCAUAGUAAGACAUUGCGAUCCAUUAGUUUUGUUGUUUAUCAAACGGCCCGUUUGUUUAGUUUAUUCCUGUCUGUGGCAAUUCAUUUGUCAUAUGGAUAAUAUCAAUGCGGUGACCUGGUAAACAGCUGAUGGAGCUUAAAAAUCAUGCAGUCCAUGCAUAUGUAUCACGGUUUAUGUAUAUUUUAUAUGUAAGUGCAGUGAUGGCAUGUAUUUGAUUAGCAAUGCGAUAGAUUUGGGAUACCUUCGGGACCCGUCUUGAAACACGGACCAAGAAGUCUAACAUGUGUGCGAGUCAUUGGGUAUGAUUGUUGAAACCUAAAGGCGUAAUUAAAAUAACUAUAUUUUAAAUGGGAUUACAAGCAGCUUUUACCAAAAAACUGUUUCUCCAUCCCGGGGCGUUCUAUACGAACAUGAUUCAAGCAAUUGGAUCCUCUGUUCAAGAGCGUACCUUGAGCAUACAUGCUGU